This is a long non-coding RNA of Gallus gallus (chicken), 1578 nucleotides long. The record is from Ensembl. NCBI's taxonomy places the organism in Eukaryota, Metazoa, Chordata, Aves, Galliformes, Phasianidae.
CUGUAAUCUGUUCCACAGUGCACUGCUCUUCUAGUGCUCCGUGGCUAGAGGUUUUAUUUUUAGGCAGCAAAUGUCAUUUAUUCAUGUUCAAGUCCUGCAGGGAAAAUGAGAGACUCUAUUUGCUCAGCUGGAGGGGCACGGGUGGGCUGUGCUGCUCCUGUGUAGACCAGCCAUGGAGUAACAGAGCACUGAAGAACCUCUCUUAGCUUUGUACCACAGCUAUAGUUUUGAUCGUGUGCAUAAAUAUUCUGCAGAGUGUUUGCCUUAAUUUAGACAUUUUGAUUGAUACUUUGAACUGACAAAGAACAGAUCAAUGCAAAUCAGGACAAAAGCUUGUGGGACUACUUAAGGAGAAUAUCCUUGAAGGUAACGGAGAUUACAGGUAAAUACUUCAAAGGAAUUAAGGCAUUAUCCUCAAAGAAGCUGACAAGACCAGCUGCCCAGCUGAACUGCCUUUAUGCCAACAUAUGCAGCUUGGGAAACAAACAGGAAGAGUUGGAAACCACUGUGCCACUGGAAAACCAUGAUGUAGUUGUCACCACUGAGACCUGGAUGCUUCAAAAUAAUCUUACAAAAUAAUAUCUCGCUGUGGGUGCAGAAGUAAGGAACUGAUACCUUGCAACUGUCAAGCUGUUACUUCAUUCUCAUUUUUUUUCGAGUCUUGCUUUUGAGGAGUGAUUUUUGAGAUCUCUGCGGUCUUGGGCGCCACUUUGGUCUGUGACCCGCUGAUGUGCUUGGGAUGUUAUUUUCAGACGUCUUUCAGUUGCAUUUUAACCUUGGAAUUUACAGUGCUCCAUAAUUUAAUGUAUCCUAUGUUGACUGGAUUGAUAGAGACUGUAAAAUAGAUGUGACCUGGAAAAUGAGUCAUUUCUGGCAUGAGCACAAAGGCUGAGUUACUGGGAUCAUUCACAGUGACAUAGAGGUCCUGUUGGACAAAGGGCUACAGAUGGCUGAGCAGAAGUCCUGAAAACAACUGUCUCCAUCAUCUUGGCUGCCCAGAAUCGCUACAGGUAGCACUGCUGCACAUAGAGUUGUAUGAGUGCCCCAGAUGAGCAGUCCUUUAAGAAUGAAAAACCAAAACCACACCAGAGAUCCAGGUAAGCCUAACUUCACUGCCACUGAAAGCAUGGCACAAACAGUUUUAUACUUGAGAGCGAUUUAAUUUUAGGAAGGGGAUGUGAAUUCAGUUUAUAAAACAGGUUGUAAUUAAGGCUUUGUAAUACUUCUGCUUGUGUGAUUGUAAGCAUACAUAUAUUGGUCACAAUGUUUAAUUAAAUAAGCAAAAAAUAUUUGUUUUUCUGACCUAAAAUUUGGAUUACUUCUUUGAGAGCUCUGGCUUGCAUUCUGUGGUCCAGCUGAUUUCACUGGAGGACUUAGUACAAUAAGGGAUGAAAAAUUUGCCUAACAUUAUCUUCCCAAAGAAGAGACAAGUUCCUCAGCUUUCAUAGCGUUGUCCUUCCAUAUGCAUUCUGUCUCUUGCAUUCUAAUACCUGAAAGCUGCCUGCAAAGCACCCAAGCAGAUGAUACAGAUGCUAUAGGGGAUAUUGCGCUCUGAGUUUUAUCAUGUCCUUUUGUAAG